GGUCAAGUUAUUAAGGGUGCAGGGCGGAUGCCUUGGCACUAGGAGCCGAUGAAGGACGUGAUAAGCUGCGAUAAGCUUCGGGGAGUUGCACGUAAACUUUGAUCCGAAGAUUUCCGAAUGAGGAAACUCACUUAGAGUAAUGUCUAAGUAUCAUUAAGUGAAUACAUAGCUUAAUGAGGGGAACUCAGGGAACUGAAACAUCUAAGUACCUGAAGGAAGAGAAAGAAAUUCGAUUCCGUAAGUAGCGGCGAGCGAACGCGGAUUAGCCCAAACCAAUAAAGUUUUCUUUAUUGGGGUUGCGGACAUAUCAUAACGAAGAGGUAUCGUAAUUGAAGAGGUUUGGAAAGACCCACCACAGAAGGUAAUAGUCCUGUAUGUUAAACGAGAAGACUUCAGAUAUGAUCCAGAGUACCACGGGACACGUGAAACCCUGUGGGAAGCAGGAGGGACCACCCUCCAAGGCUAAAUACUACCUAGUGACCGAUAGCGUAUAGUACCGUGAGGGAAAGGUGAAAAGAACCCCGGGAGGGGAGUGAAAUAGAACCUGAAACCCUGCACUUACAAGCUGUGGAAGCACAUUUCUUGUGUGACCGCGUACUUUUUGUAGAACGGGCCAACGAGUUACGUUAAGUAGCAAGGUUAAGCACUUAAGGUGCGGAGCCGUAGCGAAAGCGAGUUUUAACUGAGCGUUCAGUUACUUGACGUAGACCCGAAACCGGGCGACCUACCCAUGAGCAGGAUGAAGCGAAAGUAAAAUUUCGUGGAGGUCCGAACCCACGAGCGUUGAAAAGCUCGGGGAUGACUUGUGGGUAGCGGUGAAAUUCCAAUCGAGCCCGGAGAUAGCUGGUUCUCCCCGAAAUAGCUUUAGGGCUAGCCUCAAGGUGAGAGAUACGGAGGUAGAGCACUGAAUGUCCUAGGGGGUAUUGCACCUACCGAAGACUAUCAAACUCCGAAUGCCGUCAUCUUAUACUUGGGAGUCAGACUGUGGGUGAUAAGAUUCAUAGUCGAAAGGGCAACAGCCCAGAUCGUCAGCUAAGGUCCCUAAAUGUAAGUUAAGUGGUAAAGGAUGUGGGAUUGCACAGACAACCAGGAUGUUGGCUUAGAAGCAGCCACUCAUUCAAAGAGUGCGUAAUAGCUCACUGGUCGAGUGAUCCUGCGCCGAAGAUUUCCGGGGCUAAAACUUACUACCGAAGCUACGGCAUCAGUAAUGAUGGGUAGGGGAGCUUCCCAUACGGGUUGAAGCAUGACCGUAAGGACAUGUGGACAGUAUGGGAGUGAGAAUGUUGGCAUGAGUAGCGAGAUGUGGGUGAGAAUCCCACAGGCCGUAAACCCAAGGUUUCCAGGGGAAGGUUCGUCCGCCCUGGGUUAGUCGGGACCUAAGCUGAGGCCGAAAGGCGUAGGUGAUGGACAACAGGUUGAUAUUCCUGUACUACCGAUAACCGUUUGAGAGAAGGGAUGACACAGUAGGAUAAGCUAAGCACACUGUUGGUUAUGUGUGCCCAAGCAUUGAGGCAGUCAAAGUAGGCAAAUCCGCUUUGAUAAUGCUGGGAUGUGAUGGGGAGCGAAAUUUAGUAGCGAAGUAGCUGAUUUCACACUGUCAAGAAAAGUCUCUAUCGAGGUUAAAGGUACCCGUACCGCAAACCGACACAGGUGGGUGAGGAGAGUAUCCUAAGGCCAGCGAGAGAACUGUUGUUAAGGAACUCGGCAAAAUGACCCCGUAACUUAGGGAUAAGGGGUGCCACCAUCAGGUGGCCGCAGAGAAUAGGCCCAAGCGACUGUUUACCAAAAACAUAGGUUUCUGCUAAGUCGCAAGACGAUGUAUAGGAGCUGACGCCUGCCCGGUGCUGGAAGGUUAAGGGGAUCUGUUAGAGCAAUCGAAGCAGUGAACUUAAGCCCCAGUAAACGGCGGCCGUAACUAUAACGGUCCUAAGGUAGCGAAAUUCCUUGUCGGGUAAGUUCCGACCCGCACGAAAGGCGUAACGAUUUGGGCACUGUCUCAACAACAGACUCGGUGAAAUUGUAAUUCCGGUGAAGAUGCCGGAUACCUGCGACAGGACGGAAAGACCCCAUGGAGCUUUACUGUAGCUUGACAUUGGGUCUUGGUACUACAUGUACAGGAUAGGUGGGAGGCUUUGAAACCAGGACGCCAGUUUUGGCGGAGCCAUCCUUGGGAUACCACCCUUGUAGUACUGGGACUCUAACCAUAGGCCAUGAAUC
RNAcentral lists this ribosomal RNA (2217 nucleotides) under Clostridioides difficile. RNAcentral describes it as "partial 23S ribosomal RNA". It matches the Rfam family "Bacterial large subunit ribosomal RNA", at positions 1 to 2240 of the family's 2925-position model. The record is from RNAcentral. Lineage: Bacteria; Bacillati; Bacillota; Clostridia; Peptostreptococcales; Peptostreptococcaceae.